GCUUAGACUCUCAACGUGCAGGCGAGCGGCGAAACCACCACAUUUGACCCUGUGUGCCGUCAACGACUCAUCCGGGCUGUGUGGAUGAAAGAUGGCGACGCUUAUCCUCCCCGGUGAAUGGUUCAAAAACUGGGAGAAAUCGGGAAAACACGAAUUUGUACAACUCUGCAAAGACCUGACAGAGAAAAAAGACCAUGGAAGUAAGAAUAAAGAUAUACAAGCCGCCUUAUAUGAGCUCUGCUGGCAAGCUGUAAGAGGGACCCUGAAGUUGGACCAUGUCUCCAAUGUCCUCGGGGACAUGAUGGAACUCCGAGAUGACAUGCCAUCAAUUUUAGCAGAUGUUUUCUGUAUCCUAGAUUUAGAAACGGGGGCACUGGAAGAAAAAAACAAGCGUGAUCAUUACACAGCGUUGGUGGGAGCAUGUAUGUUUUUUAUUCCAGAGGCCAUUCUAAAGGAGAGGCUGGAUCCAGAAACCCUGGAGUCUCUGGGUCUUAUAAAACAAGCUCUUCAGUUCAAUCAGAAGAUUGUAAAAAUCAAAACCAAGCUCUUUUACAAGCAACAGAAGUUUAAUUUGCUGCGGGAGGAGAAUGAAGGCUACGCCAAACUAAUCACAGAGCUGGGACAGGACCUGUCAAGCAACAUAACCAGUCAUCUAGUCCUAGAGAGCAUCAAGUCACUGAUAGGAUGUUUCAACCUCGAUCCCAAUCGUGUGUUGGACAUAAUCCUGGAGGUUUACCAGAGUCGAUGUGAUCAAGACGAGUUCUUCCUGGCUCUCAUCAAAUCCUACAUGUGUGAGCCGCUCACCCUCUGCCACAUCCUGGGCUUCAAAUUCAAGUUUUAUCAGGAGCCCAAUGAGGAAACCCCAAAGUCACUUUACCACAUCGCUGCUGCUCUGCUGAAUCACAAACUGAUAGAGCUGGAAGAUCUUUAUGUACAUCUCAUGCCACAGGAUGCCGUCAUCGUUGAGGAACAUAAGCGUGACAUCACGGAAGCCAAGCAGAUUGCGCGUAAACUGGUCAUGGUUGUUUUACCCUCGGAGAAGAAUGACGACAAGGAGAAGGAAAAGGAGAAAGAAGAAGACAAGAAUGAGAAGCCGCCUGAUAACCAGAAGCUCGGUCUUUUGGAAGCUCUGAUCAGAAUUGGAGACUGGCAUCACGCCCAGAGUAUUAUGAACCAAAUGCCGUCCUUCUAUGCUACGUCUCACAAGGCGAUCGCACUGGCCCUCUGUCAGCUUGUGCACCUGACUGUGGAACCUCUCUACAGAAGGUCCGGUGUCCCAAAAGGUGCCAGAGGAUGUGCAGUGACUCCUCUAAAGAACCAACAAGCCCCAAAGCCUGCAGAGAACUUUGACGACCUCCGCAGGGACACGUUCAGCAUGUUGUGCUACCUUGGCCCCCACCUCUCUCACGACGCUAUUCUUUUUGCCAAAAUAGUUCGUCUGGGCAAGGGUUUUAUGAAAGAGUACCAAAGUGAACUCAAAUCAGAGAAAAUGGAAACACUUCUGAGUUGUUUCCUCAGCAUUGCAGACCAGGUGUUGCUGCCUUCUCUCUCACUCAUGGAGUGUAACGCCUGCAUGUCAGAGGAGCUGUGGGGCCUCUUCAAACUGUUUCCCUAUCAGCACAGGUACCGUCUGUUUGGUCAGUGGAAGAAUGAGACGUAUUCCAGUCACCCACUCUUAGUUAAGGUCAAGGCACAGACUGUGGAGAGGGCCAAGUACAUAAUGAAGCGGUUGACCAAAGAGAAUGUGAAACAAUCUGGAAGACAGAUUGGCAAACUAAGCCAUAGCAAUCCCACAAUCCUCUUUGAUUAUAUGCUGUCUCAGAUCCAGUGGUAUGACAACCUCAUUGUUCCAGUGGUGGACUCUUUGAAAUACCUCACUUCACUCAACUACGACGUCUUGGCCUAUUGCAUCAUCGAAGCUCUAGCCAAUCCGGAGAAGGAGAAGAUGAAACACGAUGACACCACCAUCUCGUCUUGGCUUCAAAGUCUGGCAAGUUUGUGUGGAGCUGUGUUCAGAAAAUACCCAAUAGAAUUGGCCGGACUUCUUCAGUAUGUCACCAACCAGCUAAAGGCAGGGAAGAGUUUUGACUUGCUCAUCUUGAAGGAGGUGGUGCAGAAAAUGGCUGGCAUCGAGAUCACAGACGAAAUGACCUCAGAGCAGUUGGAGGCCAUGACCGGAGGGGAGCAACUCAAAGCCGAGGGAGGCUACUUUGGUCAGAUCAGGAACACUAAGAAGUCAUCACAGCGGUUGAAGGACGUACUGCUGGACAACGAACUGGCCUUACCUCUGUGUCUGCUCAUGGCACAGCAGCGGAAUGGUGUGGUUUUCCUCGAGGGUGGAGAAAAGCAUCUCAAACUUGUUGGCCAUCUUUAUGACCAGUGCCACGACACGUUGGUUCAGUUUGGAGGUUUUCUGGCCUCUAACCUCAGCACAGAGGACUACAUCAAACGGGUUCCUUCCAUUGACAUCCUGUGUAACCAGUUCCACACGCCACACGAUGCUGCGUUCUUCCUGUCCCGGCCGAUGUAUGCACAUCAAAUUACCUCCAAAUAUGACGAGCUGAAGAAGGCAGACAAAGGAAACCGGCAGCAGAAGGUCCAAAAGUACGUGGCUGCCUGUGAACAGGUGAUGGCGCCGGUGCACGAGGCUGUGGUGUCUCUCCACCCUCCCAGGGUUUGGGAUGAUCUCAGGCCUCAGUUCUACGCCACCUUCUGGUCUCUCACCAUGUACGAUCUGGCUGUGCCUCACUCCGCCUAUGACCGUGAAGUCAACAAACUCAAGGUCCAAAUCAAAGCUAUUGAAGACAACCAGGAAAUACCGAUGAAUAAGAAGAAAAAGGAGAAGGAACGCUGCACAGCCCUGCAGGAGAAACUGCAGGAGGAGGAGAAGAAGCAGCUGGAGCACGUACAGAGAGUUCUACACCGCCUCAAACUGGAGAAGGACAACUGGUUGUUAACGAAAUCCACUAAGAAUGAGACCAUCACAAAGUUCCUGCAGCUCUGUCUGUUCCCUCGCUGCAUCUUCUCUUCCAUCGACGCCGUGUACUGUGCACGUUUUGUGGAGCUGGUCCACCAACAGAAGACUCCCAACUUCUGCACACUUCUGUGCUAUGAUAGGGUCUUCUCUGCUAUCAUUUACACUGUGGCCAGCUGCACAGAAAACGAGUCUCAUCGCUACGGACGCUUCCUUUGCUGCAUGCUGGAGACGGUGACGCGAUGGCACAGUGACCGAGCCAUCUACGAGAAGGAGUGUGUCAAUUACCCCGGCUUCCUGACCAUCUUCAGAGCAACGGGCUUCGAUGGAGGAAACAAAGCUGAUCAGUUGGACUAUGAGAACUUCAGACACGUGGUGCACAAAUGGCACUACAUGCUAACCAAAGCUUCAGUUCAUUGUUUAGAGACGGGGGAUUAUACGCACAUCCGGAACAUUCUCAUCGUCCUCACCAAGAUCCUGCCCUGCUACCCCAAGGUCCUCAACCUGGGUCAGGCACUGGAGUGUCGCGUCCACAAGAUCUGCCUCGAGGAGAAGGACAAGAGGCCAGACCUUUAUGCCUUAGCAAUGGGUUAUUCAGGUCGGUUGAAAAGCCAGAAGGUGCACAUGGUCCCUGAGAACGAGUUCCACCACAAGGAGCAGCCAGCACGCAGCGCCACUCCUGCCAGCCAACAGAACGGACCGGGCAGCACAGGGAAGCCCGCCACCGGCACGAGCAAGACGGACGAGGGAACGUUGGAGGACGGAGAUCGUGGAAAGGACAAAUCUCAGGGGACCACAAAACCAGUGAACAAAGCCAACAGUGCAGCGGCUAAAGUGACCACCAGCAAUGGCAACGGGGCUCUCAAUAGCACCAAAGUCGGAAAAGAACGGGACGACAAAGACAAGAGUGGGAAAGAGAAAAAGGAGAAAAAGGAAAAGACCCCGGGAAGCACUCCAGAGAUGAAAGCUGAGAACCGUCGGGAGAAGCAAAGAGAAGAGAGGGCAGGAAAGGAUGAGCGAGUGCUGCGUGAGGGUAAGGAGAAGACCCCCAAGACGGACCGUGAGAAAGCCAAGGUGGAGGAGAAGAGCAGCAAAGACGACAAGGCCAAGGCCGGCAACGGUGAGCCCAUGGAGCUGUCCAGGGAGCGUGACGCCAUCAAGGAGACCAAGAGCAAGGAGAAGGGAGACAGAGUCGCGGUUGUCGGGUCCCUCAAGUCACCAGCGUUGAGAUCGGAGUCGGCAGAGAGGGAUCACAAACGACGAAAGCUCGACAGUCACUCUUCUCCGUCCCACUCCUCCACUGUUAAGGUUAGUAUGGCUUGAAGGAGGCUGUGCCCGUUUCUUCUCUAUCUGCCGGAGCAUCCCCUGCCGUUGCACAUUCCAGCAGCCUUGAAGAUCACCGAGGAGAAUUGUCCUUCAUGCAUGUGUGGCAUCUGGAAAUCCCAGUCAAAUCCCUUGGAUUUGGAAAGCAUUCCAUGGACAUCAGAAUAAUAUUUUUUUGCAGCAAUGGGAGAAAUCUUCCCUAGAGACCUAAAAAGAAAAUUUGUAUAUAGUAAAUAUUUUCAUAUUGAAAUAUUUAUUUAUUUUCCUAUCGUUGAAAGCAAUCGGUGUGCCUUGGGAAGGAAGAAAAUUUUAAGCACUUCUAUAUUCUUCGUGGAUUUUUUUGUUUUUUGAAGAAAAAAAAAAUUUUGAUACGUCUUUUUGUUUUUGAGAAGUAAAAAAAAAAAGCCCUCAAGUCUGGAGCGGUUGCCUUUUUCAACAGAAGAGUUAUUUUCCAACAUUACAAGCGUUGUUCAAGUUAAACCAAGAUCUUCCUCAUUUAUUUUUUUGUGCGCUGAGAAGCUAUUUUUGCCCCCGACCUCCCGCCCCCUCCACAUUCUUCCGCCGAUCCUGCCUUGUUCCUGCAUGGAUUCCCACAGCCUCUGGCAGCGGAGUCUUCUGCCUGAGAAGUCCCUGUCUACAUCAACGCCCUUUAUGAAUCAGCACGUGAGCUUCCAAUCCCAAGAUGCGUAUCCAGUCGGUCCAGCUGACCACCACUCCCCCCACGACCCCCCCAACUCCAUACACUAGUGAAACCACAGCCAUCUAUCGGCAUCAGUCCCACGGGUUCCUGAGAAGCAGUUGUUGAGAAUUGCAGCCAGCGCUAGACCAGGACCAGGGGGAAGAGGAAAGAUGAAAAUGAAAGUCGCAUUUAUCAAUCAGCCAGAGAAGUGGAGGAGAUAAAGUCUGACCCAUCAGAGCGAGAGCGAGGGAGCCUGAGACGGAUGGACAGACAGACGGAUGGAUGGACGGACGGGUGGAAGAGUGGACGAAGCUUGAAUCACCUGGAGCGUUGCCCAAACCCCCUGGAAGCUUGUGAUAGGUCUUUAUUUUAUCCUUCCACCAGAGAAAUAGGCUCCAGCUGUCAAACCCAUGAACCUGAACUCCUUAGUCCUUGAAGGUCAGAGGUGACGGGAGACGUACGCUGUCGGUCCAGCCAGCCCUGCCUCCCAAACCUCCCACCUCUUCUUCCAACUCUCUACUGCUGUCUGACAACCUACUCCCAACCCCACCCCCUCCCAGCUCAUCUGUCAUCUCCAUUCAUCCCUACAGGACAAUAGCAACGAACUCAAGGAGUCUGCGUCCAAGCAUCACAUCAACUACAAUUCAGUUUCGCGGUCCAAGAGCAGAGAGAGGGAGACGGAGAAGAAAGAGUCAGAGAACGCACGAGGCCGAUCCAAAGAGAG
Cynoglossus semilaevis (tongue sole) is the source of this 5700-nucleotide RNA transcript. It is a transcript of the gene named THO complex 2, with no coding region annotated. The transcript has 34 exons. The record is from RefSeq and is a predicted model, not a curated record. NCBI's taxonomy places the organism in Eukaryota, Metazoa, Chordata, Actinopteri, Pleuronectiformes, Cynoglossidae.